This 109-nucleotide ribosomal RNA is filed under the name Lachnospiraceae bacterium OF09-6. RNAcentral describes it as "partial 16S ribosomal RNA". It matches the Rfam family "Bacterial small subunit ribosomal RNA", at positions 1432 to 1533 of the family's 1533-position model. The record is from RNAcentral. Lineage: Bacteria; Bacillati; Bacillota; Clostridia; Lachnospirales; Lachnospiraceae.
GACCCAACCGAAAGGAGGGAGCUGCCGAAGGCGGGAUUGGUAACUGGGGUGAAGUCGUAACAAGGUAGCCGUAUCGGAAGGUGCGGCUGGAUCACCUCCUUUCUAAGGA